This 378-nucleotide long non-coding RNA is filed under the name Medicago truncatula (barrel medic). RNAcentral describes it as "long non-coding RNA (MTRU_LNC005839)". Lineage: Eukaryota; Viridiplantae; Streptophyta; Magnoliopsida; Fabales; Fabaceae. The record is from RNAcentral.
UGCAGUUGUAUUUUAAAACCAAGCCACCAGAGGCAACCAAACCACAGCCGCCUGCCUCUGCACCCAAUGGCACCACAGCACCUGGUGUUCCGCCAAGGCCUAUGCCCCCACCACCACAAGCUCCACUACCACCACCACCACCUCCUCCACAAGGGCUACCUCCCGGUGCACCUAUGGGUAAUCCUCCACGGGCCCCUCCACCUCCAAUGUCAGGAUCAAUGCCUCCACCACCUCCUAUGGCUGCAAACGGUCCUAGACCUGGUGCGAUGCCGCCUCUUCCACCGCCAGCCCCCAUUGGGACCAGACCUCCAUCAAUGCCACCUCCACAAGGUUUUCCAGGCCAACAAAUGCAGAGCUAAGGCAGUAUGCUGAUGAGUG